AAAGGGAGACCUAAUUCAGGUAUAAGACGAAAAAAAGUAGUCCCUACCAAGAAUCAAUCCCAAAAGGUCGGAACGAGGUAUGAGGCUUUCAAACUAGGUUCUGGGUUCAUAAAAGACCUGAAUCAGGAACAAGGGCUAUUAGCUCAGGUGGUUAGAGCGCACCCCUGAUAAGGGUGAGGUCCCUGGUUCGAGUCCAGGAUGGCCCACCUGCACAGGUGGCAAAAACAAGAGAAGCGAGGAAUCAGCACCUUAUCUUAUAUACAUAUAUAAGAGAGAAUGCUGGCUCUGAGUACAGAGUCCAGAGGAACCUUGAAAACUGCAUAGAGCUAGGUGAAAAAGCCAAAAAAGAAGACCGCAAG
This 359-nucleotide transfer RNA is filed under the name uncultured Microcystis sp. RNAcentral's name for it is "partial 16S-23S ribosomal RNA intergenic spacer". The stretch from base 133 to 206 matches the Rfam family "tRNA". The record is from RNAcentral. Lineage: Bacteria; Bacillati; Cyanobacteriota; Cyanophyceae; Chroococcales; Microcystaceae.